AUGUGAUUAAAACAAUGUGUAUAUGUUAAUGUAUGUAUGUAGAACAUUCAUGAAAGAAAAUAAAUGCAUUUUUUAAUAUUCAUAAAAAAUAUGGCAAGUAAAUAGAAAAAUGGAAUGCAUCAUCAAAAAAAAAAAAAAAACCAAAAAACAUUCUUUUAAAUGCACAUUAUACUGUAAUUAUAAAUAUAUAUAUAUUUCAAAAUAAAAUGAAGCAACUGCUUAAGAAACAUUUUGCAUAUUGAAACAAGACCCUCAUUUCUCGUUGUGCCGUCCUCUGCCCCUCUCCCCUCUCUCUGCAGGUGCAUGAGCAAUUUAAUGAGAUGCAAAUGAGGUAUGCAUACAGCCAAUCUCAUGUGCCAUGAUUAAGCUCAGGAUAUUAAUGAAUUCUCUCUCUGUCUCUCACUUGCUCUUUUUCUCUCUUUACAUCUAGUAAAUCCCAUCUUCGUCUCUGUCACUCCAUUGCAGGACUACUGCAGCAGAAAUAGCUACAAGAAAGAGAGAGAGAAAAAAAACCGUUUGCCAUGUGUCUUGGUACAUGGUGCAUUGAGGAGAAAGAUCCUUUCAGAAUUCUGUGCAGUUUCUUGCAACCCCCCACCCCCCACCUCCACUCUUGCCAUAUUCCCUCUUCCUUUGACGCUCCCCUUUUGUGUUAGUGUCUGUGUGUGUGUGUGUGUGUGUGUGUGUGUGUGUGUGCGCAUGCAGUUUUUUUGGGCAUAAUCCAUUUACAUAAUAAAGAUGAGGUAAAAUUAAGAUCCCCACAGGAGUAAAGAAGAGAAUCCCAGCGAUACAAACCUCAUUAAUACAGCGUGAUUAGCAUAUCCGUACACAAUUGUCCACAAUCGGUACAAAGAAAGACGUAAAAGCGAAAAAAAGCCCCGCAAAUUAAUCGGCUCAUUUCAUGAGGUUGUUAAUGUCUAAUUUGAACUUGUUUAUCGAAGGUUAUGCUGAAAACAAUGCCCGUUUCGGAACCAAUCCUGCGUCGCUUUAACGAGAACAAUGCCAAUGAAAGAUUCGAAGCACAAAGGUGUGUAAAUCCCUUCCUUCAGAAAGCACCAGAAGGAAGAGGAGGAGAGACAAUCUGCAUUAUUUAUGCUCCUCUACAAUGUCAAACACAUCCAGUGAGGGACUGAAUUCUCCACUCACUCUCAUUACCUUCUCUCUGACUCAACAGGAAGUUUUGAGGAUCCUCAGAACAGGUAUUCAAGCACAAAAUCACUCAUUACUGCAUAUAUGAUGGUUUAAGGUCCUGUCCUUGCAUUUGGAAAGCUCUAGUAGGUCCAUAAAAUUGCAAAAGUAGUGCAUCCUCCUGGUAAAUUUCACCAUACUAACACCCGCCAACAUGUAUCCUUUUGGUGUUCCCGACGUACCAGAGAAAAUUCACUCUUGCUUGUGUUCAUUUGUGCAAACCAUUCUGUUUUGUUUUUGUAGUACAUAAAAUCCAUAUUCCAUAAUGACUUUAGUGUUUGAAUUGAUCUGUUGAGUCACUGUAUGGUAAGUCAAGGCCUGUGGUUUCUUUAGCUUCUUCCUGUUUGCUUGUUUCCACACUUGUUUCCUCAAUCUUCUGUCUUGUCCAAAAUUUGAAACAAACUUGUUUUUGAAUGACAGUUUCUUGAUGUUUUCCUUUUCAUUCCAUUUAUCCUUUUACAAACCUUGUUGAAUGUAAAGUGCCAUUGGCACAGGGUUGGCAGAGUUACUGAUGGCAUCCGAUGACAUUCCAUCAGUCUGGGUUGCUCAUCACUUUUGUUCUCACAAGUGUUCCUGCCAUAUUCCUCCUCACCAAAUCUGUCACACUAAUUAACCCAACAAACUCUGUGAGUGUUAAUUAAGCUGUCGGAUCACUGUGUUUUUCAAUCUUGUUUUGUGUUUCGUCCCUAGGGCUCUUUGUCUUUGCCAAGUGACAUGCGUCAGGGGCUGGUUACCGCAGGAACGUGCUGGCACUCUGCCAUUUCCAAGCCACCGCCAACUUCCCAGCGGCAUACUGCAGUGCAGAGAUCCUGGCACACUGCCGAAGGUUGGCGCGUGCCAACGAGAGUAACAAGACAUGUCGCAUAUCUCCAUUAUGACUGAGCAGAUGCCAUCGUACCCGCGUUGAGUGGCAUCGACUUUGGGGCAUCUGCUGCUUACUCUCUAGGGGAUGUGCCUACUUAGAGCCUGGCACGGUCACGAAGGAGACAGCGGAACGCAGGAUGGCGAAGCCUGUGGGAAAUAACAUUACGAGGAUAAAAGGUUCGUUAAGAGGUUCCGUUUUGCAUACUCACACAGUUGCCAUGCUGACGAGCUGGCGGAUGGAUCUUCAAAGGGCUCCAACUUUUUGAAUCCAGUGCUCGGGAACAUUUCGUUUGGAGGAUG
This is a long non-coding RNA of Cyprinus carpio carpio, 2349 nucleotides long. The record is from Ensembl. NCBI's taxonomy places the organism in Eukaryota, Metazoa, Chordata, Actinopteri, Cypriniformes, Cyprinidae.